GAAUUGUUCUUCUUUUGGUUAUCUAGCUCCUUGUCCUACAUCAACUGCCCACUUGUUAUAUCCAUCUCUUUAAUAAUUCCAUCUUUUCUUAACUUUGCUUUUUAACAAAUUUCUAGAAAUUCACCUGGGCUGUUUGAAUCAAAGAAGGCUGAAGAGAAAUCCCUCACCCCGCCCUAAAGAAUUGCCUUGGUAGAGAAAAAUAUAUAUAUAUAUUUUUUCAUAUUGGAGGAGGUGAUGCUAAUAGAAAAAGCAGCAUCAGAGAUUUGAUACUACUCAAUUGCAGAAUAUUGUAAUCCCACCAUUAAACUAAGCCAUAAAUCUCCUACCCAUCCAAUAGAUUACUUUGAAAUUGAACUCUUUCACCAUCAUCUUUCUCUGCCCUUUAAUGGCUUCUCUCAUCAACACUACUACUAUAUAUUUUCUGUUUUUGCAUUUAUAUAUCUACAUAUUUUUCUCUCUCUUCCUUAACUCUAAAUUCUUGGUUUGUUCUCAGUUUAUUAUCCUCCUUGAGAAUUGUGUUUUUGACGAUGAAUUCAUUUUUCUCCAUAUAACCGUCCCCUUCUUUUACUUCCUUGACUUGACUAACUUAGACUUAGAAAACUUGCCUGGUACGCUUCUCUCUCUGUGAUUCUCUCUCUAAAUACCUGUAAUUAUUUUGUUUCUUCACCACUUCGGGCUUCCAUUCAUGUAUUUGCUUUGUUGAGUUUCUAUCUAUGUACGUUCUGAUUCAUCACUUCACUUUUGAUUCUGAAUACUUACUGUCACCUGCACUGUUUCUGUUCUGUUUUCUGAUUUUUCUGGUUGUUCAUAAUGGUUUUGUUUGUGGUAUUGAUCAAUUCUUGAUAUAGACAUCGGAUGAAUUUGUCUAAUUUCUGAUAAGAUUUCUGGGUAUGAAAAUAUUUACUAAUUCCUUAGAAUCCUCAUCAUCCAUGAAAAGAAUCCCUGUAUGUCUAUCUAUUUCAGUUAUCUAAUUAAUAUUUAUAUUUCUCCAAAUAUUUUCUGAUAAUUAAUUUUCCCCAAUUUCAUGUAAUGUUAGAGAUUUCGGAUUCUGAUCCAUGUCCAAAGGGAAAGAUCAAGGAGGUGAAGAUGCAGGGAUGCUUGGUGAGGAUCCUGGCAAUAGCUUUUGGAUUAUUUCUAACAGUCUCCAGCCAAAAAAGCUUGGUGCUUGCCAAUCUAAUGGCAAGGAAGAUGACCGAGAAUAUGUGUGUGGAAGUGAUAAUAAUCCUCGCAAGAAACGGAUGCUCGAGGAAUCUGGUAAUAGCUUCAGGUUUGCUUGCAAUCAGCCACCUGCAACUGCCAUUGCCUGUGAAACCAAUAGAGCAGAAGACAGGGUCGAUGGUUUCACAAGUGUAGAACCUCAGGAUGCAGAUUACUCCGAAGUUCCACAGCUUAAUGAUGAGAUAGAGAAUCAGAUUUUGGCAAGAGUUCCAAGAUCAGAAUCCUGGAAAUUUCCUUUGGUGAACAAGAGAAUAUUCGCUCUUAUGAAGAGUGGAGAGCUCUUUAAGAUCAGAAGGGAACUUGGGGUCAGAGAAUCAUCUGUUUUUAUUUUCACAACUGGAGACAGUGGUUGGUGGGCAUUUGAUCGACAAUUCACUUCCCGUAGAAAGCUUCCAGACUUGCCAGCAGACUCCUGUUUUUCUUCAGGAGACAGAGAAUCAGUUUGUGCAGGGACUCAUAUGAUCAUUUCAGGCAGGGAAAUAGAUGGUGUUGUAGUUUGGAGGUAUGAAUUAGAAACAAAUAGCUGGAGAAGGGGUCCUUCAAUGAUCGAAUCCAGGUGUCUGUUUGCUUCAGCUUCCUGCGGUCCCUUUGCUUUCGUAGCUGGUGGAGUAACAGAGACCGGUGCAAUUCUAAAUUCUGCUGAGAAAUACAAUUCCGACACUAAGACAUGGGAAUCUCUCCCAAUGAUGCAGGAGAAAAGGAGGCUCAGCUCUGGAUGCUACAUGGACAACAAGUUUUACGUUAUCGGCGGCCGAAAUGAGGAGGGAAGAUGUCUUACUUGUGGAGAAGCUUACGAUGAGGAUAAAAAGACAUGGGAACUCAUCCCAGACAUGUUGGAGGACACUCCUGUUGCCACUUUUCAUUCUCCACCACUUGUUGCUGUUGUGAAUAAUGAGCUAUACUCGCUAGAGACUUCAUCAAAUGUGCUGAAAGUGUAUUCAAAAAGGAGCAGAACAUGGAGGAAAUUGGGACCCGUCCCAGUAAGAGCUGAUUCUUCGAGAGGAUGGGGGGUGGCCUUCAAGUCUCUGGGCAAUGAGCUACUUGUAAUAGGUUCAUCAAAAUCUGUCUCUUAUUCAGGAGAUAGCAUGGCCAUAUACACAUGUUCUCCAGAUGCUGAAGCUGAGGAAUUGCAAUGGAGGCCUCUUGAGUGUGGCGGCAGAAACAGACUGAGCAAUUUUAUAUUGAACUGUUCUGUAAUGGUAGCUUGAAUUUUAAACUAGGAUUUGACAUAUUAGAUGCUUCAAUAUUAGUGUGCUGGCGGCUAUUUGAAGGAACCAAGAUGAAUCAUUCUACCAAAUGGGCUUGAAACCUGUUUGUCAGUUUUAGGAUAAAGAAGUGAAGAAAAAAAUCUGAUUUAUUGC
Manihot esculenta (cassava) is the source of this 2579-nucleotide RNA transcript. It is a transcript of the gene named F-box/kelch-repeat protein At3g27150, with no coding region annotated. The record is from RefSeq and is a predicted model, not a curated record. NCBI's taxonomy places the organism in Eukaryota, Viridiplantae, Streptophyta, Magnoliopsida, Malpighiales, Euphorbiaceae. The transcript has 2 exons.